Long non-coding RNA from Asparagus officinalis (garden asparagus), 208 nucleotides. RefSeq lists it as uncharacterized. The record is from RefSeq and is a predicted model, not a curated record. NCBI's taxonomy places the organism in Eukaryota, Viridiplantae, Streptophyta, Magnoliopsida, Asparagales, Asparagaceae. The transcript has 2 exons.
GGAGACUUGGGACUGGCACAUGGCGUAGUGGACUGUGGUAUCUGGAUCGUGAAGGGCUGGAUUCAGCAUUGGUGUCAGUCAUAGAGGAAGCAGGAGUAGGAUCUAAAAUGAGUGCUGAAAAUGAGUUAAUGCUCCAUCACCAGCGUUUGGGACACUCAUCCUUUAGUGUUUUAGGUAGAUUGUAUCCUUCUUUAUUUGAGAAAGCAAA